This 770-nucleotide long non-coding RNA is filed under the name Panax ginseng (ginseng). RNAcentral describes it as "long non-coding RNA (PGIN_LNC013127)". The record is from RNAcentral. Lineage: Eukaryota; Viridiplantae; Streptophyta; Magnoliopsida; Apiales; Araliaceae.
UAACUAUAAGCCCUAAGCCCCUCCCACUCCCACUCCAAGCUCUGCUAUAUCUCAGCAUCUCCUUCCAUUUCCCGCCCCUCUCUGUUUCUCUUAAAAUGGCGGACAAGAAGAAACGUAGCAGACGAGCAGAUCCAACUUCCGAUUCCGACAGCGAUUCCCUCCCCUUCAAAAAAUCCCUUAAACCGGAUUCCGCCAUUCUAUCCACCCUCAAAACCCUAGCUUCCUCUUCCUCCUCCCAUCCCUCCACCUCUUCCAAACCCCUAACCCUCUCCUCCCUCUCUCUCUCCUCCACCUGCCGCGAAGUCUCCGACCUCCCCCUCUCCUCCGUCCAGUCCGAAAUCGAAACCCUAGCCCUUAACCUCGCUCGAUCCAUCCUCGCCGGAAACGGCUUCUCCUUCUCCGUCCCCUCUCGCUCCUCCGCCAACCAGCUCUACGUCCCGGAGCUAGACCGGAUCGUCCUCAAAGACAAAUCCUCCCUCCGCCCUUACUCCUCCGUUUCCACCGUCCGGAAAACCACCAUCACCACCAGAAUCCUCCAGCUCAUCCACCAGCUCUGCCUCAAGAACAUCCACGUCACUAAGCGUGAUCUUUUCUACACCGACGUUAAGCUCUUCCAGGAUCAGACCCAGUCCGACGCCGUUUUGGAUGAUGUUUCUUGCAUUUUGGGUUGUACUAGGUCUAGCCUUAAUGUGGUUGCAGCUGAAAAAGGGGUUGUUGUGGGUAGGCUUAUUUUCAGUGAUAACGGGGAUUUGAUUGAUUGCACAAAAAUG